Long non-coding RNA from Anguilla anguilla (European eel), 422 nucleotides. RefSeq lists it as uncharacterized. NCBI's taxonomy places the organism in Eukaryota, Metazoa, Chordata, Actinopteri, Anguilliformes, Anguillidae. The transcript is spliced from 3 exons. The record is from RefSeq and is a predicted model, not a curated record.
CUUAUUCACAGCACCGCUGUGAGUGCACAGUAAGUUGACGCAUUUUUAAUAUGUUCUUCCCGCAGUGCCGUUGUUCAAUGGAGAGCCUCGCGCAUUGGGAUGUUCGCGGUUUCCCUGCAUUCCGAACUAUGACAAAAACGGCGCUGUCAUGGCGGGUGGUGGUUGGAGAGGCCCCAGUUGCUCGGUCGGUGGAACCGACGGCUACACCACGCAUGCUGGGUAAUUCUCACAGCCGUGCCAUUCAACCCGAGGAGCAUCACAUUUGCUGAAAAUUGCCUCGUACCCCAGUGAUCUGAUGGAUGGCAGCAGACACUUUGCACAGGAGAGUUAAAUGAACUCCCUUUUUGUGUGGGAGUUGGUGAGUGUGACAUUGCUGUUCACUGUGUUUUUCUCGCUUGUGAUUACUGAGAAAAUCAGACACU